Molecule: ribosomal RNA, 450 nt
Filed under: uncultured bacterium
Lineage: Bacteria
Description: SSU rRNA
Rfam family: Bacterial small subunit ribosomal RNA
Source: RNAcentral
AGAGCGAACGCUGGCGGCAGGCUUAACACAUGCAAGUCGAGCGGAUGUAGCAAUACAUCAGCGGCAGACGGGUGAGUAACACGUGGGAACGUACCUUUUGGGUUCGGAACAACACAGGGAAACUUGUGCUAAUACCGGAUAAAGCCCUUACGGGGAAAGAUUUAUCGCCGAAAGAUCGGCCCGCGUCUGAUUAGCUAGUUGGUGAGGUAAUGGCUCACCAAGGCGACGAUCAGUAGCUGGUCUGAGAGGAUGAUCAGCCACAUUGGGACUGAGACACGGCCCAAACUCCUACGGGAGGCAGCAGUGGGGAAUAUUGGACAAUGGGCGCAAGCCUGAUCCAGCCAUGCCGCGUGAGUGAUGAAGGCCCUAGGGUUGUAAAGCUCUUUUACCCGGGAAGAUAAUGACGGUACCGGGAGAAUAAGCCCCGGCUAACUUCGUGCCAGCAGCCGC